CAUGCAAGUCGAACGCCAGCGCUGGAGCAUCCUGGCGGCGAGUGGCGAACGGGUGAGUAAUACAUCGGAACGUGUCCUGUAGUGGGGGAUAGCCCGGCGAAAGCCGGAUUAAUACCGCAUACGAUCUACGGAUGAAAGCGGGGGAUCGCAAGACCUCGCGCUAUAGGGGCGGCCGAUGGCGGAUUAGCUAGUUGGUGGGGUAAAGGCCCACCAAGGCGACGAUCCGUAGCUGGUCUGAGAGGACGACCAGCCACACUGGGACUGAGACACGGCCCAGACUCCUACGGGAGGCAGCAGUGGGGAAUUUUGGACAAUGGGCGCAAGCCUGAUCCAGCAAUGCCGCGUGUGUGAAGAAGGCCUUCGGGUUGUAAAGCACUUUUGUCCGGAAAGAAAUCCUCUGGGUUAAUACCCCGGGGGGAUGACGGUACCGGAAGAAUAAGCACCGGCUAACUACGUGCCAGCAGCCGCGGUAAUACGUAGGGUGCGAGCGUUAAUCGGAAUUACUGGGCGUAAAGCGUGCGCAGGCGGUGAUGUAAGACCGAUGUGAAAUCCCCGGGCUUAACCUGGGAACUGCAUUGGUGACUGCAUCGCUGGAGUAUGGCAGAGGGGGGUAGAAUCCACGUGUAGCAGUGAAAUGCGUAGAGAUGUGGAGGAAUACCGAUGGCGAAGGCAGCCCCCUGGGGCCAUACUGACGCUCAUGCA
RNAcentral lists this ribosomal RNA (702 nucleotides) under Burkholderia sp. Mi199. Its description in RNAcentral is "bacterial SSU rRNA". It matches the Rfam family "Bacterial small subunit ribosomal RNA", at positions 54 to 753 of the family's 1533-position model. The record is from RNAcentral. Lineage: Bacteria; Pseudomonadati; Pseudomonadota; Betaproteobacteria; Burkholderiales; Burkholderiaceae.